GACGAACGCUGGCGGCGUGCUUAACACAUGCAAGUCGAACGGAAAGGCCCUGCUUUUGUGGGGUGCUCGAGUGGCGAACGGGUGAGUAACACGUGAGUAACCUGCCCUUGACUUUGGGAUAACUUCAGGAAACUGGGGCUAAUACCGGAUAGGAGCUCCUGCUGCAUGGUGGGGGUUGGAAAGUUUCGGCGGUUGGGGAUGGACUCGCGGCUUAUCAGCUUGUUGGUUGGGUAGUGGCUUACCAAGGCUUUGACGGGUAGCCGGCCUGAGAGGGUGAACGGACCAAUUGGGACUGAGAUACGGCCCAGACCACUACGGGAGGGCGCAGUGGGGUAUAGUGCACAAUGGGAGGAAGCCUGACGCAGCAAAGCCGGGGGGGGGAUGACGGCCUUCGGGUUGUAAACCGCUUUCGCCUGUGACGAAGCGUGAGUGACGGUAAUGGGUAAAGAAGCACCGGCUAACUACGUG
RNAcentral lists this ribosomal RNA (468 nucleotides) under uncultured bacterium. RNAcentral's name for it is "partial 16S ribosomal RNA". It matches the Rfam family "Bacterial small subunit ribosomal RNA", at positions 28 to 507 of the family's 1533-position model. The record is from RNAcentral.